GAAGGUAUAGCUCAGUGGUAGAAUGUGUGCUUAGUAUGCUCAAGGUCCUGGGUUCAAUUCCCCAGUACCUCCA
Molecule: transfer RNA, 73 nt
Filed under: Camelus bactrianus (Bactrian camel)
Lineage: Eukaryota; Metazoa; Chordata; Mammalia; Artiodactyla; Camelidae
Also listed under: 2 other names
Rfam family: tRNA
About the family: Transfer RNA (tRNA) molecules are approximately 80 nucleotides in length.
Source: Rfam by way of RNAcentral